RNAcentral lists this ribosomal RNA (433 nucleotides) under uncultured bacterium. RNAcentral describes it as "partial 16S ribosomal RNA". It matches the Rfam family "Bacterial small subunit ribosomal RNA", at positions 29 to 507 of the family's 1533-position model. The record is from RNAcentral.
AGCGAACGCUGGCGGCAGGCCUAACACAUGCAAGUCGAACGAACUCUUCGGAGUUAGUGGCGGACGGGUGAGUAACACGUGGGAACGUGCCUUUUGGUUCGGAAUAACUCAGGGAAACUUGUGCUAAUACCGAAUGUGCCCUUCGGGGGAAAGAUUUAUCGCCAUUAGAGCGGCCCGCGUCUGAUUAGCUAGUUGGUGAGGUAACGGCUCACCAAGGCGACGAUCAGUAGCUGGUCUGAGAGGAUGACCAGCCACACUGGGACUGGGACACGGCCCAGACUCCUACGGGAGGCAGGAGUGGGGAAUCUUGCGCAAUGGGCGAAAGCCUGACGCAGCCAUGCCGCGUGAAUGAUGAAGGUCUUAGGAUUGUAAAAUUCUUUCACCGGGGACGAUAAUGACGGUACCCGGAGAAGAAGCCCCGGCUAACUUCGUG